UUAGGUUUUGGGGCUAGGGUAAGGUUUAAAGUUUUUGGCGUUAGGGUUAAAAUCACUGUCCAAAACAUUUGUAGGAACUCUUUUCCAACCUUUUGUUGUUGGUUACACCAACAAAAAUGUAAAAUGAAGAAAAAAAUAUUUGGGGUGUUCGGGUUUCCUGAAGGUAAUACCUGGGUAUUAGAUUUUAAGCUAGGGUAAGAUUUAAGGUUUUUGGUGUUAUGGUUAAAAUCACUGUCCAAAACCUUUGUAGGAACUCUUUUCCAACCUCUUGGAGUUGGUUACACCAAUAAAAAUGUAAAAUGAAAAAAAUAAUAUUUGGGGUGUUCAGGCUUCCUGAAGGUAAUACCCGGGUAUUAGGUUUUGGGGCUAUAGUAAGGUUUAAGGUUUUUGGCGUUAGGGUUAAAAUCACUGUCCAAAACCUUAGUAGGAACUCUUUUCCAACCUUUUGGAGUUAGUGUGACCAGAAAAAAUGAAAAAAGAAAAAAAAAUAUUGGGCGUGUUCGGUUUUCCUGAAGGUAAUACCUGGAUAUUAGGUUUUGGGGCUAGGGUAAGGUUUAAGGUUUUUGGCGUUAUGGUUAAAAUCACUGUCCAAAACCUUUGUAGGAACUCUUUUCCAACCUUUUGGAUAUAGUUAGACCAAUAAAAAAUGAAAAAAAUAAAAAUAUUUUGGGUUUUCUGGCUUCCUGAAGGUAAUACCCUGGUACUAGUUCAUGGUGCUAUGGUAAGGUUUAAGGUUUUUGGCGUUAGGUUUAAAAUCACUGUCCAAAGCCCUUGUAGGAACUCUUUUCCAACCUUUUGGAGUUGGUUACACCAACAAAAAUGUAAAAUGAAGAAAAAAAUAUUUGGGGUGUUCGGGCUUCCUGAAGGUAAUACCCGGGUAUUAGAUUUUUAGGCUAGGGUAAGGUUUAAGGUUUUUGGCGUUAGGGUUAAAAUCACUGUCCAAAACCUUUGUAGGAACUCUUUUCCAACCUUUUGGAGUUAGUUAGACCAAAAAAAAAGAAAAAGAAAAAAAAAAUUAUUGGGGGUUUUCGGGCUCCCUGAAGGUAAUACCCGGGUAUUAGGUUUUGGGACUAGGGAAAGGUUUAAGGUUUUUGGCGUUAGGGUUAAAAUCACUGUCCAAAACCUUUGUAGGAACUCUUUUCCAAUUUUUUGGAGCUAGUUAGACCAACAAAAAUGUAAAAUGAAAAAAAAAUAUUUGGGGUGUUCGGGCUUCCUGAAUGUAAUACCCGGGUAUUAGAUUAUGGGGCUAUGGUAAGGUUUAAGGUUUUUGGCAUUAGGGUUAAAAUCACUGUCCAAAACCUUUGUAGGAACUCUUUUCCAAACUUUUGGAGUUAGUUAGACCAAAAAAAAAAAGAAAAAUGUAAAAAAAAUAAUCGGGGUUUUCGGGCUUCCUGAAUGUAAUACCCGGGUAUUAGAUUUUAAGGCUAUGGUAAGGUUUAAGGUUUUUGGCAUUAUGGUUAAAAUCACUGUCCAAAAACUUUGUUGGAACUCUUUUCCAACCUUUUGGAGUUGGUUACACCAACAAAAAUGUAAAAUGAAAAAAAUAUAUAUUUGGGGUGUUCGGGCUUCCUGAAGGUAAUACCCGGGUAUUAGGUUAUGGGGCUAUGGUAAGGUUUAAGGUUUUUAGCAUUAGGUUUAAAAUCACUGUCCAAAACCUUUGUAGGAACUCUAUUCCAACCUUUUGGAGUUGGUUACACCAACAAAAAUGUAAAAUGAAAAAAAUAUAUAUUUCGGGUUUUCUGGCUUCCUAAAGGUAAUCCCCGGUUUUAGAUUAUGGGGCUAUGGUAAGGUUUAAGGUUUUUGGCGUUAGGGUUAAAAUCACUGUCCAAAACCUUUGUAGGAACUCUUUUCCAACCUUUUCGAGUUAGUUAGACCAAAAAAAAAAAAGAAAAAUGAAAAAAAAAAUAUUUGGGGUUUUCGGGCUUCCUGAAUGUAAUACCCGGGUAUUAGAUUUUAAGGCUAGGGUAAGGUUUAAGUUUUUUGGCGUUAGGGUUAAAAUCACUGUCCAAAACCUUUGUAGGAACUCUUUUCCAAUUUUUUGGAGCUAGUUAGUCCAAAAAAAAAAAUGAAAAAUGAAAAAAUAAUAUUUGGGGUGUUCAGGCUUCCUAAAAGUAAUACCCGGGUAUUAGCUUAUGGGGUUUGGGAAAGGUUUAAGGUUUUUGGCAUUAGGGUUGAAAUCACUGUCCAAAACCUUUGUUGGAACUCUUUUCCAACCUUUUGGAGUUGGUUACACCAACAAAAAUGUAAAAUGAAAAAAAAAUAUUUGGGGUGUUCGGGCUUCCUGAAGGUAAUAACUGGGAAUUAAAUUAUGGGGCUAUGGUAAGGUUUAAAUUUUUUGGGGUUAGGGUUAAAAUCACUGUCCAAAACCUUUGUAGGAACUCUUUUCCAACCUUUUGGAGUUAGUUAGACAAAAAAAAAAUGAAAAAUGAAAAAAAAAUAUUUGGGGUGUUCAGGCUUCCUGAAUGUAAUACCCGGGUAUUAGGUUAUGGGGCUAUGGUAAGGUUUAAGGUUUUUGGCAUUAGGGUUAAAAUCACUGUCCAAAACCUUUGUAGGAACUCUUUUCCAACCUUUUGGAGUUGGUUACACCAACAAAAAUGUAAAAUGUGAAACUCAAGUUAACCAAACACGGAAAUUCAAGUUCAAAAACACCACAAACUCAAGUUCAACAAACACCACAAACUCAAGUUCAAACACAACACAAACUAGAGUUCAAAUAACACACAAAAUCAAGUUCAACAAACACACAAAGCCAAGUUCAAAAACACCACACCCUCAAGUUCAAAAACACCACAAACUCAAGAUCAAAUACACAAGAAACUCAAGUUCAAACACACCACAAACUCAAGUUCAACCAAGACCCAAAUCUCAAGUUUAACAAAUUCCACACCCUCAAGUUCAAAAACACCACACCCUCAAGUUCAAAAACACCACAUACUCAAGUUCAAAAACACCACAAACUCAAGUUCAAAAACACAAGAAUCUCAAGUUCAAACAUGACAAACUCAAGUUCAAACACGACACAAACUCAAGGUCAACAAUCAAACAAACUCAAGUUCAACAAAAACACAAAAUCAAGUUCAAAAACACCACAAACUCGAGUUCAAACACAACACACACUGAAGUUCAACAAACACACAAACUGAAGUUCAAAAACACCACAAACUCAAGUUGAAACAUGACACAAACUCAAAUUCAACAAACACACAAACUCAAAUUCAACCAACUCCUAAUUCUCAAGUUAAACAAUUUCCACAACUUUAAGAUCAAAAACGACACAAACUCAGGUUCAAAAACGACACAAACUCAAGUUGAAAAACACCAAAAACUCAAGUUCAACCAAUACCCAUUUCUCAAGUUUAACAAUUUCCACAACCUCAAGUUAAAAAAAAACACAGACUCAAGCACAAAAACGCCACAAACUCAAGUUCAAACAUGAAACAUACUCAAGUUCAACAAACACACAAUCUCAAGUUCAACCAAAAACACCUGACUCUCAUGUUUAACAAUUGCCACAACCUCAAGUUCAAAAACAACAGAAACUCAAGUUCAAAAAAACACAAACUCAAGUUCACCAAACACGCAAAUUCAAGUUCAAAAACACCACAAACUCAAGUUCAACAAACACCACAAACUCAAGUUCAAACACAACACAAACUCAAGUUCAACAAACACACAAAUUCAAGUUCAAAAACACCACAAACUCAAUUGUAAACACGACACAAAAUCAAGUUCAACAAACUCAAGUUCAAACACAACACAAACUAGAGUUCAACCAAGACCCAAAGUCAAGUUCAACAAACACACCCUCAAGUUCAAAAACCACACCCUCAAGUUCAAAAACACCACAAACUCAAGAUCAAAUACACAACAAACUCAAGUUCAAACAUGACAAAACUCAAGUUCAAACACGACAAACUCAAGUUCAAACACGACACAAACUCAAGGUCAACAAUCAAACUCAAGAUCAACAAAAACACAAAAUCAAGUUAAAAAAUUCCACAAACUCAAGUUCAAACACAACACAAACUGAAGUUCAAAAAACAAACAAACUCAAGUUCAAAAACGCCAAAAACUCAAGUUGAGAAACAACACAGAAUCAAUUUCAACAAACACACAAACUCUAGUUCAACCAACAGCUGAUUCUCAAGUUUAACAAAUUCAACAACCUCUUGUUCAAAAACAACAGAAACUCAAGUUCAACAAACAACAUGAACUCAAGUUCAAACAUGACACAAACUCAAGUUCAACCAACACCCAAAUCUCAAGUUUAACAAUUGGCACAACCUCAAGUUCAACAAACACACAAACUCAAGUUUAAACACACAACAAACUCAAGUUCAAAAAAUGCCACAAACUCAAGUUCAACAAUUGCCACCAAUUAAAGUUCACUAAAAACCACAGAUUCAAUUUCAACAAUUGCCACACACUCAAGUUCAAACACACCACAAACUCAAGUUCAAAUACGACACAAACUUAAGUUCAACCAACACCCAAAUAUCAAGUUUAACAUUUGCCACAACCUCAAGUUCAACAAACACAGUCAAUUUCAACAAACGCCACAAACUCAAGUUAAAACAUGAAACAUACUCAAGUCAAAAAAACCCACAUAAUCAAAUUCAACAUUCACACAAACUCAAGUUCAAAAACGAAACAAACUCAAGUUCAACAAACACACAAACUCAAGUUCAACCACUA
Molecule: long non-coding RNA, 4695 nt
Filed under: Xyrichtys novacula (pearly razorfish)
Lineage: Eukaryota; Metazoa; Chordata; Actinopteri; Labriformes; Labridae
Source: RNAcentral